GUUCACAGUCCUGUUCACAGAGUUAGAAAGUGAAAUUUGGUGUCCGUGCUGCCUCUGGAGACGGAGAAUGCCACGAAGGCGUGAAGGCCUUCUCCUUCCUGCGGAGAAAGCAGCACUUGCCGCUUUGGCUUCGGGCUCACAGUCCUACGCAGUCGUGAUCGCUUCCUGUACUGCAGCUUCUGCUUCCUCUGAGCCAGGUACAAGUAAACUAACCCGCAAAGGGACUAACAGCAUGAACAAAACGGAAAGCUGCUCGACUACUGGAAACUGAUGGAGCACGGAGAUGGAAUGAAUGCCUCAUGGAAGAAAGGCAAAUUGUUGGUAACUUGAAAUAAAACUGCUCAAGAAAUUCAUACUCCACGACCAUGAUGGGUUUCCUUUCAGCAAGAGAAGCUUUUGCCAUGCUCUGUGCCUUCAAAAAAGUGCCACAUUUCUAAAUGAUUGGUGGUGGUGGGCAUGUACAGUGUCAGUAGAUAAGAUGGAGGAGGUACCUCCCUUUUUCAUGCACCUUUAAGAGGUGAGAUGGAGCGGAAUCUGGCUGCUAGUGUUUCCCUGAGGAGCUUCUACACCUGAUCCUUAUGGGUGUGGAAGAGGAACCUGGGUUGUUCAGCAGGUGAAGGUGCACUGUUUGCAGGCCUGUUCUGCCAUACAGGUUAGGGGAAAAUGUUCACUUGUGUGGGAAACAUAAGUUAAAUUGGCUACCUGAAUGAAAAUACUGUGACGAAAGUUGACUGUAACCUGUAAGUGAUUUUUUUUUUCUUUCCCUGCCCCAGUCUCUGACCCUUUAUUUUGCUGUAUUGCAUUUGCCAUUCUGCACGUCUUUUCUUUUCAGAUGUCAGUUGUCCCAACUUCACUCUGCCAUUAAUACUUUCUCAUGGAGAGAUUCCUUCAUUUCCUUUCCAUGAUACAAAACUAUUUUAAUUAGACAAGGACUGCAAACUAUAUUUCCUGCUAUUUUAAUCUCCUGAGCGUGUUUUUCUGUGGUUUCCUUGUAUGCCGAGAGGGAGUGUAGCCUUUUACCUCACUAAAGUGGAUCUUAUGUGGUCUCUACAAAUUGCACAUCUAUUAUACUUCUUAUUUUAUUUUUAUUUUUACACAUUAGUAAAUUAUUUUGGGUGUUUAGCCAUAUUAAGAUACUUUAUACGGUCAUAAGCCACUAAGAAUUUCUUCAUUUAGGAAUUCUUGGUUUAUAAUCAGGAAACUGCAACUGGUCCAUCUUACCUAGGAGCUCGUGGUCUGCUCAGAUCGAACAAAGCAGGUGUUUGCAAUGUGCUGUUCCCACUUGCAGUUAAAUGCAAGGUAAUUAGGCUUCAACAGCAUUUUUGGAUGUGAUUUGUUUGUGAUAGAAAAGUAUUUUUCUUGUUUCCAGAUUCUUUCUGAAGUUGGAGCUGGGGACAUUUUUCAAUGUGGUUUUAGUUCAGGCAAAAACUGUUCAGCAGUUUAUGUCCAUGUUUCUACUGUUGCUAUAAUACCAAUAGAAUAUUGAAAUGCUUUGAAAUUUAGGAAUACCUAAUGCUGAUAGCUGUAAAUGGCUUGUCUUACCUUUCUCUGCCUCUGAAAGCUCCAGGCCCCAGUUUUGCUGUGGGUAAAUGGAAGCCGAUGACAAAGCUUCCGCUAUUUUAUAUAAAAACAAUAUAUAUAACCUGCGUCUCCCCCUCCACCACCAUCUUUAAGCCUUUGGACGCAGACUGUUCAUAGAUAGCCUCUGCCCAAAAUAUACUUACCUGACAUCACUUAAAAGGCAAGAAGCUUGCCCGUCAGUCUCCAGUGUUCGAGCCUGGAUUACUGUGUUUUCUUUUCUGUAUCUUCUGUUGCUCUUUUGACAUUUACUUAGUGGAAACACUCAUUAGAGCAUCUUUGUUAGUUAUUGCACACUUCUGAGUUACGGUCAGAUUAGUGUGGGGCUGCAGAAGGGAAGCGUUUCUGUGCGAGAUUGCACCCUUCUGCAAAGAAGAAAGCAAGUUCAAACCGAGAAGCCUUGUGUUAUUGAUAGCAUGAUGCCUGAGCUUGCGUGGUAGAUUUGUGACUUUGCACUUAGCACCUCUUUGUCUAUCAGCGCAUUUGGGAAGCUGCCAGAAGACUGGUACAGAUCACUCUGUGACGAACAAAAAGUUCGUUGAUGCUCAGGGAAAAAGAUGCACAUAAAUAUAGCUACUCUUGUACAAAAGUAGUGAUGCUGUUGUGAAUUGCUCUUUUUGGUUUACAUCAAAAUAGAUUUGCUAAGAAAAUGAGGAAGUGAUUUUGCAAAAAAUUUUGAAAUAUUAUGAAUUCCUCUUGCCAAGUUUUAACAGUUUCUGUGAUACUUUAUCAAACUUGCACAAAAUUGGAAAAAUUCUAGUUUCUGAAAAGCCUAGUUUCAGCUGGAGAAAUCAGAUCUGUGCAAAGAAGUUUUCAGGCAAAAGCAUUCUAAAAAGAAAUUCCAUGAAAACGUUGAUGUAAGUUUUGCAGAAAAUGGGAAACCAAAUGCUCUUUUUUUGGGGGGGGGAGGGGAAGCAUCUAUUUGUUUUAAAUAUAUUUCUCAUUCUUAAAAUAAUGUUUUAUAAGAAAAGAUUGCAAAUAUCUAACUAUCUACAAGGUUAUAAAUAUCUAAAGCAGGGCAAAAUCUAAAUAAAAAAUUACAAGGGCAGAGAAGUUUGUCACACUUUACUUGUGCCACCUUGACUGGUCUGAUAAUACACCAAUAUCUCUUUUGUAUCAAUAUUUGCGUAUUAAGUGUCCUUAAACCAAACACCCAAAUUGUCAGCAUCUUGGGGUCUACUUUAAAUCCUAAAUCAAACUUAAUGAUGUUGUUCUGACUCUAGAGUCGUGUUGAAACUAGGUGCUCAGAAUGCCCUGCAAAUGAAGUCUGUAACGAUGCUAGUAUUGCCAAAGACAGGUGGAGGUGGUACUCUCUGAAUAACACUGAGCAGUGCUGGUAACCACUGAUUCAGGAUAGAUAUAGGAAGACUAUUUGGAAUACUUCUGAGCUGCAGGCAAUGGGAAGUUCUUUUGGUUUAAGCUGACUAGUAUAAAUACUAAUGUUAAUAGCAGGUCUAGAAAAACUUAUUCAAUGUAUUAAGCUUUAAUUUUUUUUUUUUUUUUUAAAGUAACCUCUUCCAACAUCUGAAACUGCAGAUUCUUGUUUGUGAAAAUUUUAUGUAUUCUUUUGGAAUGUUACUUAAUUUAUGAUCCAAAAUAGCAAAUGCUUGUUAAUUGCUUCACAUAGUGCUUCUCUUAAGUCAUUCAUUCAGCAGAUGUUGAUUUGUUGUUGAUGUAUGCAAAACUGAAUAAAUUUUGUUCAUCACUUGGGACAUGUAA
Dromaius novaehollandiae (emu) is the source of this 3297-nucleotide long non-coding RNA. RefSeq lists it as uncharacterized. The transcript has 2 exons. Lineage: Eukaryota; Metazoa; Chordata; Aves; Casuariiformes; Dromaiidae. The record is from RefSeq and is a predicted model, not a curated record.